RNAcentral lists this ribosomal RNA (446 nucleotides) under uncultured bacterium. RNAcentral's name for it is "partial 16S ribosomal RNA". It matches the Rfam family "Bacterial small subunit ribosomal RNA", at positions 338 to 795 of the family's 1533-position model. The record is from RNAcentral.
CCUACGGGUCGCUGCAGUCGAGAAUCAUUCACAAUGGGGGAAACCCUGAUGGUGCGACGCCGCGUGGGGGAAUGAAGGUCUUCGGAUUGUAAACCCCUGUCAUGUGGGAGCAAAUUAAAAAGAUAGUACCACAAGAGGAAGAGACGGCUAACUCUGUGCCAGCAGCCGCGGGAAUACAGAGGUCCCAAGCGUUGUUCGGAAUCACGGGGCGUAAAGCGUGCGUAGGCUGUUUCGUAAGUCGUGUGUGAAAGGCGCGGGCUCAACCCGCGGACGGCACAUGUUACUGCGAGACUAGAGUAAUGGAGGGGGAACCGGAAGUCUCGGUGUAGCAGUGAAAUGCGUAGAUAUCGAGAGGAACACUCGUGGCGAAGGCGGGUUCCUGGACAUUAACUGACGCUGAGGCACGAAGGCCAGGGGAGCGAAAGGGAUUAGAUACCCCAGUAGUC